UGGGGAAUUUUGCACAAUGGGGGAAACCCUGAUGCAGCGACGCCGCGUGAUUUAGAAGGCCUUCGGGUUGUAAAAAUCUUUUCUAUGGGAAGAAAAUGACAGUACCAUAGGAAUAAGGACCGGCUAAUUACGUGCCAGCAGCCGCGGUAAUACGUAAGGUCCGAGCGUUGUCCGGAAUCAUUGGGCGUAAAGGGUACGUAGGCGGGUAAGCAAGUUAGAAGUGAAAUCCUAUAGCUCAACUAUAGUAAGCUUUUAAAACUGCUCAUCUUGAGGUAUGGAAGGGAAAGUGGACUUCCUAGUGUAGCGGUGAAAUGCGCAGAUAUUAGGAGGAAUACAGGUGGCGAAGGCGACUUUCUGGCCAUAACCUGACGCUGAGGUACGAAAGCGUGGGUAGCAAACAGG
RNAcentral lists this ribosomal RNA (402 nucleotides) under bacterium. RNAcentral's name for it is "partial 16S ribosomal RNA". It matches the Rfam family "Bacterial small subunit ribosomal RNA", at positions 355 to 776 of the family's 1533-position model. The record is from RNAcentral.